Molecule: long non-coding RNA, 488 nt
Filed under: Gallus gallus (chicken)
Lineage: Eukaryota; Metazoa; Chordata; Aves; Galliformes; Phasianidae
Source: RNAcentral
GAAUACUCGCCAUAUUCAUAAUGCCAUAAUUCAUCAGCACCAGGACAAAAAGAUGAAUGGAAUACCACCCAAAGCAGAAGACAGCAAAGUAUAUUCCAAAGAGGGUGGCAAAUGCAUGGCGAACAGCAGAGCUGGCAUGACUGGGACCCAGGUAAAUACGAAACCAAAAGGCAGCCAAAAGGGCAAAUAGUUGACAGGCUACAAAAUUUAUCUGAUCCAGCGGGAUGCCGAGCAGCGCGCUCAGCGGGUGUAGCAAAGUGGAGCCGGUGGUGCGAUGCGGGGCUGCGGGCGCCUCGGCCAUGCCGCAUCCCCAGCGGCAGUGACAACGAGCCCGGAGGCACCGCGCCGUCCGCCCGCCGACACCGCCCCGCGCCGCGCCGCCCGCCAGGCCGCAGGGGGCGCUCGGCAGGGCGGGGCCGCCCGAACGGCCGCCCUAACGGCGGGACCGGCGGGGGGUGGGCGGGAGGCAGCGCGGCGCCGGCGGCGAC